Molecule: ribosomal RNA, 875 nt
Filed under: uncultured Nitrososphaerota archaeon
Lineage: Archaea; Thermoproteati; Nitrososphaerota
Description: bacterial SSU rRNA
Rfam family: Archaeal small subunit ribosomal RNA
Source: RNAcentral
CCUGACUGCUAUCGGAUUGAUACUAAGCCAUGCGAGCCAUUGUAGCAAUACAAGGCAGACGGCUCAGUAACGCGUAGUCAACCUAACCUAUGGACGGGAAUAACCUCGGGAAACUGAGAAUAAUGCCCGAUAGAACACUAUACCUGGAAUGGUUUGUGUUCCAAAUGAUUUAUCGCCGUAGGAUGGGACUGCGGCCUAUCAGUUUGUUGGUGAGGUAAUGGCCCACCAAGACUAUUACAGGUACGGGCUCUGAGAGGAGUAGCCCGGAGAUGGGUACUGAGACACGGACCCAGGCCCUAUGGGGCGCAGCAGGCGAGAAAACUUUGCAAUGUGCGAAAGCACGACAAGGUUAAUCCGAGUGAUUUGUGCUAAACGAAUCUUUUGUUAGUCCUAGAAACACUAACGAAUAAGGGGUGGGCAAGUUCUGGUGUCAGCCGCCGCGGUAAAACCAGCACCUCAAGUGGUCAGGAUGAUUAUUGGGCCUAAAGCAUCCGUAGCCGGCUCUGUAAGUUUUCGGUUAAAUCUGUAUGCUCAACAUACAGGCUGCCGGGAAUACUGCAGAGCUAGGGAGUGGGAGAGGUAGACGGUACUCGGUAGGAAGGGGUAAAAUCCUUUGAUCUAUUGAUGACCACCUGUGGCGAAGGCGGUCUACCAGAACACGUCCGACGGUGAGGGAUGAAAGCUGGGGGAGCAAACCGGAUUAGAUACCCGGGUAGUCCCAGCUGUAAACUAUGCAAACUCAGUGAUGCAUUGACUUGUGGUCAAUGCAGUGCUGCAGGGAAGCCGUUAAGUUUGCCGCCUGGGAAGUACGUACGCAAGUAUGAAACUUAAAGGAAUUGGCGGGGGAGCACCACAAGGGGUGAAGCCUGCGGUUC